CAGUCGCCGCGGUAAUACGAAGGGGGCUAGCGUUGCUCGGAAUUACUGGGCGUAAAGGGCGCGUAGGCGGAUAUUUAAGUUGGGGGUGAAAGCCCGGGGCUCAACCCCGGAACUGCCUUUGAAACUAGGUGAUUAGAAUCUUGGAGAGGUCAGUGGAAUUCCGAGUGUAGAGGUGAAAUUCGUAGAUAUUCGGAAGAACACCAGUGGCGAAGGCGACUGACUGGACAAGUAUUGACGCUGAGGUGCGAAAGCGUGGGGAGCAAACAGGAUUAGAUACCCGAGUAGUCCCUGUCUCUUAUAA
RNAcentral lists this ribosomal RNA (301 nucleotides) under uncultured bacterium. RNAcentral's name for it is "partial 16S ribosomal RNA". It matches the Rfam family "Bacterial small subunit ribosomal RNA", at positions 509 to 809 of the family's 1533-position model. The record is from RNAcentral.